RNAcentral lists this ribosomal RNA (426 nucleotides) under uncultured soil bacterium. RNAcentral's name for it is "bacterial SSU rRNA". It matches the Rfam family "Bacterial small subunit ribosomal RNA", at positions 97 to 561 of the family's 1533-position model. The record is from RNAcentral.
GGCGCACGGGUGAGUAACGCGUAGAUAAUCUGCCCUGGUAUCCGGGAUAACAUUUCGAAAGGGGUGCUAAUACCGGAUAAGCCCACCUUUGGGAAAAGGAUGUAUCAGGAUGAGUCUGCGUACCAUUAGCUAGUUGGUAGGGUAAUGGCCUACCAAGGCGACGAUGGUUAGCUGGUCUGAGAGGAUGAUUAGCCACACUGGAACUGAGACACGGUCCAGACUCCUACGGGAGGCAGCAGUGGGGAAUUUUGCGCAAUGGGCGAAAGCCUGACGCAGCAACGCCGCGUGAGUGAUGAAGGCUUUCGGGUCGUAAAGCUCUGUCAAGGGGAAAGAAUGACGGUACCCCUAAAGGAAGCACCGGCUAACUCCGUGCCAGCAGCCGCGGUAAUACGGAGGGUGCGAGCGUUGUUCGGAAUUAUUGGGCGU